This 781-nucleotide ribosomal RNA is filed under the name Flavobacterium cucumis. RNAcentral describes it as "bacterial SSU rRNA". It matches the Rfam family "Bacterial small subunit ribosomal RNA", at positions 62 to 848 of the family's 1533-position model. The record is from RNAcentral. Lineage: Bacteria; Pseudomonadati; Bacteroidota; Flavobacteriia; Flavobacteriales; Flavobacteriaceae.
UCGAGGGGUAGAACACUUCGGUGUUUGAGACCGGCGCACGGGUGCGUAACGUCUGUAUGCAAUCUACCUUAUACAGGGGAAUAGCCCAGAGAAAUUUGGAUUAAUGCCCCAUAGCAUUACGACUUGGCAUCAAGAUGUAAUUAAAGUUCCAACGGUAUAAGAUGAGCAUGCGUCCCAUUAGUUAGUUGGUAAGGUAACGGCUUACCAAGACGAUGAUGGGUAGGGGUCCUGAGAGGGAGAUCCCCCACACUGGUACUGAGACACGGACCAGACUCCUACGGGAGGCAGCAGUGAGGAAUAUUGGUCAAUGGUCGCAAGACUGAACCAGCCAUGCCGCGUGCAGGAAGACGGUCCUAUGGAUUGUAAACUGCUUUUAUACAGGAAGAAACCCUCCCACGUGUGGGAGCUUGACGGUACUGUAGGAAUAAGGAUCGGCUAACUCCGUGCCAGCAGCCGCGGUAAUACGGAGGAUCCAAGCGUUAUCCGGAAUCAUUGGGUUUAAAGGGUCCGUAGGCGGUCUUAUAAGUCAGUGGUGAAAGCCCAUCGCUCAACGAUGGAACUGCCAUUGAUACUGUAAGACUUGAAUGCUUAGGAAGUAACUAGAAUAUGUAGUGUAGCGGUGAAAUGCUUAGAUAUUACAUGGAAUACCAAUUGCGAAGGCAGGUUACUACUAAGUGAUUGACGCUGAUGGACGAAAGCGUGGGAGCGAACAGGAUUAGAUACCCUGGUAGUCCACGCCGUAAACGAUGGAUACUAGCUGUUCGGAGCAAUCUGAGUGGCC